AGUAAUUGUGAAAAACUGAGUUUAAAUGUAUUUGGCUAAGGUGUAUGUAUACUUCUGACUUAUAUGUUAUUGUAUGUUAUUAUUUGAGAUAUAUAUCAUAAUUUUAUGACAUCUGUCAGAGUGGAUUCUCAUCUAUUCACCCAAAAAACACAGUUAUAGUAAGUUAUACUUAAGUUGCAUUGAUGAAGAAAUAUAACUCAAUUUUUAGGUAAUAGUUUCCAGUACCUGUACCCAUCCUCCUACACAAGAUACAGCUACAGUAUCCUAGAAUGUCAAACAAAUACCAUGCCAACCUUAAAGAAUGUUCAUACAGCUAUUCUUUUCAUGAGUUCUGUCAGGCAUCUUCUCUGUGCCGCAUGUGACUUGGCCACCCAUAGCACCAAGGUUUUGUACAACAGGGAAUCUCGGUUUGAAGGGUUUUAUCGCCCCUUGUCCCCAACUCAUCAAGAUGAUGAGGGGUCCCUUGCAUUCCAGGAGCACGGUGUGCUUAUUGUUUUGGUGUUUCAAAUUAAAUCUGAUAGUACAUCCUGCAAUAACAACUUUUUAGUCAUGCUGCACAAUUUUCAAUGGAUCAGUAUUGAUUGAACCAUAUUUAACUAGGCAAGUGAGUUAAGAACAAAUUCUUAUUUACAAUGACGGCCUACCCCGGAACGGUGGGUUAAUUGCCUUGUUCAUGGGCAGAACAACAUAUUUUUACCUUGUCACCUCGAGGAUUUGAUCCAGUAACCUUUUGGUUAGUGGCCCAACGCUGUAACCACUAGGCUACCUGCCACUACAAGUAUUUACAGUCCAAAUAUAUAGAAACAUUUAUUUGGGAUUCUUUGGCGUCACAUUUUGGUUUCCACUUUGUCUUUUACCCAUGGCUGUGCCACAGUUGUGUGGUUGCACCCUGACAGUGGCAAGUGGCAAGCAGGUCAUCCUGAUUGGUAUAAUUGGUAAGUGUGUGUUUUUUAAGGACUACUUCUAUUCACAUUUAUAAAGAAUGUAAUUAAUUACUUCUAAUAAUUACUCCUGAUUCAGGGUGCUACAACCUGUCCCUUCCUGCUCUGAACUGCUCCGGGUGGCACACCCUGAUCUGUUUCACCUGUCUUUGUGUUUGUUGCCACCCCCCUCCAGGUUUCACCCAUCUUCCCCAUUAUCCCCAGUGUAUUUAUAUCUGUAUUCUCUGUUUGUUUGUUGCCAGUUCGCCUGUCUUUUUCUAGUUCCUGUUUCCCGGUUUUGACCAUUCUGCCUUCCCUGAGCCUGCCUGCCGUUCUGUACCUUGUCACACCAGCCUGGAUUUUUGACCUCUCCCUGCGCUGACCCUGAGACUGCCAGCUGUUCUGUACCGUAUGGACUCUGAUCUGAAUUACUGACCUCUGCCUGCCCUUAACCUGUCGUGUCGCCUGCCCCCUGUUCUAGUAAACUUGUGUUACUUUGACACUCUUUGCAUCUGGGUAUUCUCCUGAAACAUGUUACCCGGGUGUCUGAGACAAUGGACAGUGGGGCUGGAUGAAUUUUGUAAAGAGUGGCUACCGGCCAGGCUCCGUGACUCACCAGACCAUCUUCACAGUGGACCACUUCAAGUCUUUUGAAGACAUGAAGGUGUUGGCCCCAGGAUGCUCCUGUCAAGCCUUUGUGGGAAUGCUUGACGGAAGAACAAAGCACUUUGACAGGUGUAAAGAUAUGUGGCGACACGUUCCAGAAAGCAUUCCUCGAGUGGACAUAUGGAGGUUUGAAAUAGACAAGCUUUGUGGAAGCGAUCUCCUACAUUGUCCUGAUGCAUGCUAUAUCAGUGGAUGGGAAUCGCAAGCAAUACUGCUUUCGGAAAGCCUCAGGACACACAGAGGUUGGAGCAACAUGGUCAGAUGUUUGGGAUUUAAACCAGCAACCCACCUCUCUAGGCUAUGUGAAUGUUGAGAAGGGCUUCUAUGAUGUCUUCCUGGAGAAACAAGAUGAUGUGUCAUCCUUCAUCAAACAUGUCCAUACAAAGACCAAUCAUUCUCAGUUUCUAUAACACUGCUUAAUGUCACCCAGUUUAGAGCUUGUUUCUUUUAAAGUUGAUAUCUGCACUUCACUGUGAUUUUAAUGUUGUAGACGCCAGGCAAAGGAGUGUGUGGUACAUCAGAGUGGACAGCGGCCAAAGACGUCAGGAAAAUUGUUUGCCAAAGUAGAGGGCCUUGAUAGCAGUUUGCCGACACAGCGUGCUCCUCAAGGCCCUCAACAUGUACAGAAGCGAGAUAUAUGCCAAUGUACUUGCAGAAGAAGCUGUCUACUGCUGGCACGGUGGGCUUUUUCUGCUGCACUGUUGCAUGCAAAUACUGGCCAUAUUUGCAGAUAGUUGUGCAGGCGUACCCAGAGUUGGAGGAGCUUCUAAAAAGGCACCCUCUCCGCUAUUCAUGCUAAGGCACAUGAAUGGUCUUGUGAGUAUAGCACAAAUGGAGAGGCCGCAAUCAGCCUGGUGCCGGCAACACAACCGGAGAGAAGUCGGGCAGUACGGACAGAGAUUAUUACACUACAGUCAAUGGAUUGGAAUAAGAGGAAUUUCACCAACAUGGAUCGCAUGUAACACUCGUUUGAAGAAGUGGACCAAGAUGCAGCGUGGGAAUGUCAAAAGACUGGAGGAGACCAGCCUCGCGAAAAGCGGGAAGAGCUAGACAUCAACACCGCUGUGCUACAGGAGUGGAUUACUGAGGUCCAGCAGUGGCCUGAUGACACACUUCAGGAUCGUCAGAUGGGGCAUCUCCAGAAGAAGCUUGAAGGACUUUACCACAGUGUGAAAGAGGAAACUACUUCUACCAUUUGACAGCUCAGAGGCAACUGCCAUCAAAAGGCAAUCUUCAACAGACUGAUGUUAGUGAACAGACUGCAGGAGGAAGAGAGGAUCCUGGUCCGGGAGAUGAAGAGGCACUGGGGAAGCCUACAAAGAGCAGUGGGAACUGUGGUGGCACUGUACCUACAAGAUCAGAGUAAUGCAGUGGAGUUUUCAGAGGGAGGGAAGAAUGGCCUUCUCUGCCACCUGAAGAGAAGAUUGAGUGAACUGACACAAGACCAAGUUGACACCAGGAAUACCUACCACAAGCUGAUUCUUGGAGAAGGGGAUAUUUUUUUAUGACUGAUGUAGGUGAGAACUCCGAUGAAGAUAGAAGUUCUAUUGCUGAGAGCUCAGAUGACAACUGCUAUGCUUUCUGAAAUUCUACACCACCCCUGCCUCUUUCUCUCGGUCUCGCUUUCUCCCGCUGGAGAGGGAGAAGGCCGCCAACCACCUCCCUUGGGAGCAGCCUGGUCUCAUGACAUUGACCCCUCACCUUCUGAACCCAUCCAGGGAAAUUUAAUUUGCCUGAUGAUGUGUUAGUGGAGAAGGAAUGUGUCAUGUUUCCUCUCCUCAUCACCUCUCUUCCGGUCCUAGACUAUGGCAACAUCAUCUGCAACUCAUACUGUUGGUUGAGGACCACUUACUGAGGAAUGUGGUUCUUCAUUAUUGUUUAUAAGUAUUUUCUAUGCUGCCAUGAUUGGGGUUUUUGUGAGUUGCAAAAGAGUCCUUGAUCUCAAUGGGACUGCUAAAAUAAAUAAAGGUCUUAA
Molecule: long non-coding RNA, 3561 nt
Organism: Oncorhynchus gorbuscha (pink salmon)
Lineage: Eukaryota; Metazoa; Chordata; Actinopteri; Salmoniformes; Salmonidae
Exons: 9
Source: RefSeq, a predicted model, not a curated record